Molecule: ribosomal RNA, 460 nt
Filed under: uncultured bacterium
Lineage: Bacteria
Description: partial 16S ribosomal RNA
Rfam family: Bacterial small subunit ribosomal RNA
Source: RNAcentral
CCUACGGGAGGCAGCAGUGAGGAAUAUUGGUCAAUGGGCGCGAGUCUGAACCAGCCAAGUAGCGUGAAGGAUGACUGCCCUACGGGUUGUAAACUUCUUUUAUAAAGGAAUAAAGUGAGGCACGUGUGCCUUUUUGUAUGUACUUUAUGAAUAAGGAUCGGCUAACUCCGUGCCAGCAGCCGCGGUAAUACGGAGGAUCCGAGCGUUAUCCGGAUUUAUUGGGUUUAAAGGGAGCGUAGGUGGGUGGUUAAGUCAGUUGUGAAAGUUUGCGGCUCAACCGUAAAAUUGCAGUUGAUACUGGGUGUCUUGAGUGCAGCAGAGGUAGGAGGAAUUCGUGGUGUAGCGGUGAAAUGCUUAGAUAUCACGAAGAACUCCGAUUGCGAAGGCAGCUUACAAAACUGUAACUGACGCUGAGGCUCGAAAGUGUGGGUAUCAAACAGGAGUAGAUACCCUUGUAGUC